This is a long non-coding RNA of Rattus norvegicus (Norway rat), 754 nucleotides long. RefSeq lists it as uncharacterized. The record is from RefSeq and is a predicted model, not a curated record. NCBI's taxonomy places the organism in Eukaryota, Metazoa, Chordata, Mammalia, Rodentia, Muridae.
AAAGUUUGCAGGAAGAGGAGGAGACUGGAACGGAAAGGAGGAAGAGACAGGAGGGAGAGGGAGAGAAGCCGUGGCAGGACAAUAUGGGAUGUAUGUGGUUGCUUUUAAAGCCUCCUUGAACCACGCGAAACUGUGAUCGAGCUAGAAAUGAUGGCUCACACCUGGAAUGCCAGUACUUGGAAGGCAAAGUUCUCCAAUGGGUCAAUUCCAGACACUGAACUUGGACAGCUGAUACACAGUAAGGGCCUUUGCCCUCUGAGUCUCGGCAGCCUGAAAACAGUCUUCACCCCCUUUGUAAACAGAAAGGCUGAAAUGGACCUGCGCGGUGGUGAGACACAGCCCUGUAAGCCACAGGGCUUUCCACCCUGGCGAGCCUGCUCUCAGCUGGAACACCUCUGCAGCUAUUCCACUGACCCACAGGACAACUGGAAGCCAAACAUUUGUCCUUCUCAUCACCUCCUCCGCUCCCUACCGGGAGGGAGCUUUCCUGCGGUUCCUGCGCUAUGGAUGGAAUGGCGCAGCCAGGAUGGGACACUCGUGAUAUCUAGUGCCAGGACAGAAAAGCUGGCUAAGCCAGUGGUCAAAAUGCGAAAGAGUUUGGUAAACAUGUGAGGGAGACUGGGGCGGACAGACAGGUCCAGACCUGCCCUAUUAGGCAGGAAAUGUUGCGUAGGAUGUCCUCUCUUCUUCCGCAGAUGGCGAGAGGGCAGAAGCCACCUUAGGCAGCUGUGACCCUGUGCUGGAUGGAACUGCA